Molecule: microRNA precursor, 89 nt
Filed under: Canis lupus familiaris (dog)
Lineage: Eukaryota; Metazoa; Chordata; Mammalia; Carnivora; Canidae
Also listed under: 2 other names
Description: mir-8799 microRNA precursor family
Rfam family: mir-8799 microRNA precursor family
Source: Rfam by way of RNAcentral
CGGGGGAGGCCGGAUCCUGGGCUGUGUCCCGGCGCCCUGUGCUCCGGGGCCUGCGCUGUUGGAUUCACGCUCCCGCCCCACAGCCCCCU